This 251-nucleotide ribosomal RNA is filed under the name uncultured bacterium. RNAcentral describes it as "partial 16S ribosomal RNA". It matches the Rfam family "Bacterial small subunit ribosomal RNA", at positions 524 to 776 of the family's 1533-position model. The record is from RNAcentral.
UACGUAGGGGCAAGCGUUGUCCGGAAUCAUUGGGCGUAAAGAGCGCGUAGGCGGUCCGGUAAGUCAGCUGUGAAAGUCAGGGGCUCAACCCUUGAAAGCCGGUUGAUACUGUCGGGCUAGAGUCCGGAAGAGGCGAGUGGAAUUCCCGGUGUAGCGGUGAAAUGCGCAGAUAUCGGGAGGAACACCAAUGGCGAAGGCAGCUCGCUGGGACGGUACUGACGCUGAGGCGCGAAAGCGUGGGAGCAAACAGG